RNAcentral lists this ribosomal RNA (253 nucleotides) under uncultured bacterium. RNAcentral describes it as "partial 16S ribosomal RNA". It matches the Rfam family "Bacterial small subunit ribosomal RNA", at positions 524 to 776 of the family's 1533-position model. The record is from RNAcentral.
UACGUAGGGGGCAAGCGUUAUCCGGAUUUACUGGGUGUAAAGGGAGCGUAGACGGAGAGGCAAGUCUGAUGUGAAAACCCGGGGCUCAACCCCGGGACUGCAUUGGAAACUGUUUUUCUAGAGUGUCGGAGAGGUAAGCGGAAUUCCUAGUGUAGCGGUGAAAUGCGUAGAUAUUAGGAGGAACACCAGUGGCGAAGGCGGCUUACUGGACGAUGACUGACGUUGAGGCUCGAAAGCGUGGGGAGCAAACAGG